GUGAAUUUUAGGGUGCUCUUCUCCUUCUUAACAAAGGGAAGAGGCCUGACCUCCACUCUCCAACACUGUGCACUUAUUGGCAUUAGGAACGACGGCUUAACGGCUUGACAUUCCUUCUGCGGCUUUAUUUCUUAACACUAGUCAAAGAAUGUAAAACAAAACCAUAACAAAAAA
RNAcentral lists this unclassified non-coding RNA (174 nucleotides) under uncultured Microbotryomycetes. RNAcentral describes it as "sequence contains ITS1". The record is from RNAcentral. Lineage: Eukaryota; Fungi; Basidiomycota; Microbotryomycetes.